Anarrhichthys ocellatus (wolf-eel) is the source of this 2586-nucleotide RNA transcript. It is a transcript of the gene named SH3 domain binding glutamate-rich protein, with no coding region annotated. The transcript has 8 exons. The record is from RefSeq and is a predicted model, not a curated record. NCBI's taxonomy places the organism in Eukaryota, Metazoa, Chordata, Actinopteri, Perciformes, Anarhichadidae.
CGUUAAUGGAGCCCGGAGACCAAAAAUAGCAGCAGCAGUGUGUGUCUUUGUCUGUGUGUGUGUGUGUGUGUGUGAGAUCUCGCUGCUAUGUCCCCCGUCCUGGGUGAGCUCUAAUAAUAGAGGAGGCCGCCUGCUCCUUUAAGAGUCUACUUGUUGAAUAGCCUACUCCACCACAACACAUUGUAACAAACAUGGUUAUCAAAGUAUUCCUCGCCUCUUCGUCGGGAUCCACCGCGAUCAAGAAGAAGCAGCAAGAUGUGGUCGGCUUCCUGGAGGCUCUCAAAGUGGAGUACGCUCCGCUGGACAUCGCCUGCAACGAGGAGAACCGCAUGUGGAUGAGGCAGAACGUCCCCGAGGAGAAGAAGCCCUCCAACGGCAUCCCGCUGCCCCCUCAGAUCUUCAACGAGGAGGGCUACUGUGGGGAUUACGAGACGUUCUUUGACGCCAAGGAGGACAACAUGGUGUAUGCCUUCCUGGGGCUGCCUCCUCCUCCUGGGUCAAAGGAAGCAGAGCAGGCCGACAAGGCGCUCAUUGUGGAGAACGGGACCCACGCUGAGGAAACCAAUGCCGAGGAGAGCCUUGAUGAAUCAAUAGAGGUUCCGGUGGAGGCGCGAAAUGGGAAUGAGGAGGUGGCAGAAGGAGAAACUGCAGAGGAGGAAGUCACGGAAGGAGACGAGGCCCCCGCAGACGAGGAGGAGGAGGCAGUGGAAGAAACAGACGAGGUCACAGAAGACACACAGGCCCAAGCAGAGGAGGAGGAAGAGGAACAGGAGGAAGAUGAUUUGCAGUCAGAGGUAACUGUGCGUCGGCGAUCGUCUCUGCCUGCGGCUCCUCCGUAUAGUCAUCAGCAGUGUGGGUUUGAUGGUGCACAGAUCAGGGAAGGCUGCUCCGGUUGGGUUGGGAUGGGCUUGGGUGCUGUUCCCACUCAUCUGUACACUCUUUAAUGUGCUCACUUCACCUUUCUUUCUUUCCCCUUCUAUCUUCUCUCUCUCUCCAUCACUCUACUCCCCUUUGUUUCCCAUCUCCUUUCUGCUAACAUCCUGUUCCUCAUUUCUUCCCAGUUUCUGUAGCUGCCUCCUGACAACCUCAACCAUCCCCACGUAGUUUCCAUUUUAAGUCAGAGGACUUUUCUAUAGCGCAUGCCUGUGGUGCUCUUUUGCUCCCCCACACAGCCGGCUGACCUGCUAUCUGUUAUUUACUUCUAGGAGGAAGAAGAGCUUCGGCAGCUUGAGGUAGAUUCACGUGAUGUUUCUUUAACCAGCCCCAAUCCUUCCUCAGUUUCCUUCAUCACUUCCCAGACUAUCAAGCAUUCCUUCAAAUUUUCUCUUUCACUCGAUAACUAGUAGACUCAGAAUAAGAUUCAGGACACCACUGUUGGCCAUACUAAGAGGUUUUGCUCGCAACCUCAAGUGUGUAUCGUCUCCACUCACAAAUGCAGUGACGAUUGAAAGCAUGACCUCCAGUGCCUGUCAUAAGAACAUAUCCAAUACAAGAAUCAAUUUUUAGAAAGGUAAUACUGCAAUAUACUGACUAAUUUAAAGUCCCUUUACUCAUAUAUGUCAUUAGUUUGAUACUGCAUUCUAGUAUGUGUGCAAUGAAUUUACAGUAUGUUCUCAAAGUUCUUCUGCAUCCCAUACACACAUCUCAGCAUGCACUUACACACAGGGGUGUCAUCUCUUCUUGGGGCUGGUCGAGACUAGUGUCUCGCUCCCUUUUUAAAGUUGUUUUUGACCCACACACUUUUACAGUUUCAGUAUGAUUGACUCACUAAAAAAAGUCUCUAAAAAGUCCUCAUGCUCUCCAGAUGAGAGAAUAUUGAUUCAGUUAUCUUUUUUGUUGGACAUAUAGGAAGACCUCCGGCUACAUUGAGCACCACACACUCAUGAAACCAGACCUAUGUGUUCGAUCACACAUUGUCUCUCACACUGACAGUAUUCCCUAGAGAAUUCGGACUGAACCAGAUCCCAGGAUUAAAAAACAACAACAAAACAACAAAAGUCCAGAUCCUAAAAUGUCCCUUUGUUUGAUGUGCUGUGUGAAAAGAGCUCCACCUCUCUGAAACAUUCCAGCCUCUGCCUGAUCUUCUGUCACGUAUGCUUCACUGCUUUGCUUCGCCUUCUUUCCUCUCUACCUCUCCAUCUAUUGUGUUGUUGUCCCACUUCUCUUGCAGGAGCAAGACAAACAAGGCUUUCUGUUGUUGUUUGUGGCGUCCUGUUUUUUUUUUUUAAGGCUGUAUAAAAUGUAGGGUUUAAACUGUCCUCCCUCUUUAUUUAGUCCCUCUCUCUCUGUGUUGCUGCAUGGAUUUGUCGGUUAUCUUACAUGGAGAUGCCUGAUGGUGUGCAGCAUGAGAAAUAUGACAAAAUGUUAAUUAAACGGAAGGUGGAUUUAGUGUGGUGACAAAAAUGCGAGUCCAUAUACAGACCACGAAUUACGUUGAUCUUCUUUCCUUCUGUGUGACAUUUAAUUACUAAACACAACACUGUUUUAUCUUCCGUAGGAAGAAGAAGAGGCUGAAGUACAAGAGGAGGAAGAGGCCGAGUAGUUGAAGCCAGAUGACCUUGUUGAUGCUGACUUGCUACUCUCCAG